This is a long non-coding RNA of Cyanistes caeruleus (blue tit), 2525 nucleotides long. RefSeq lists it as uncharacterized. The record is from RefSeq and is a predicted model, not a curated record. Lineage: Eukaryota; Metazoa; Chordata; Aves; Passeriformes; Paridae.
UAUAUUGCAUGUCUGAAGCAUCAUUUACAUUCGAUGAUUUAAGUGUUCAUAGUGGACUGAGGUCAUCCUGCCUUACACAUGACGGGCUGGCACUUGACACCAUCAAUAUAGAAUAACUGUUUGGAAUUACAGCAAUAAUAAUGUGCAGACCCCCUACUGCAGCAUUAUUCACACAGUACUUUACAGGGCAAAAAGGUGUCCUUUAACAUUUAGAGCCAUGGAAGAACACAAUAUGUAUGAUGACUGAUGGUGGAAAAUGUAUGUCACAAGCUAUGCAUUGCAUGAACAAUAUUUCUACAUCCUCCAUUAAAAUACCAAAUUUGAUAGCAAAGGAUUGCUGGUUCAUGUCAUCCUUGCCAUAAAGAAGAAAUUGGAUGGGUGCAUCACUGCCCUCUUCCUUCCCUAUGCUCUGCUUACCCACGUUCUGCUUGUUUAUGUGGCCAAGCUGUGCCCAAGAAAUUGGAAAAAGCAGCCAGAAGCAAGUUUCCAUGAGCCUAAGGCCACUACCAGCACAUAGCAACUGAAAGCCCUUGUCCCAGGGAGCUCAAAGCAAUGCCACCAAAUCCAGCCUGCACAAACCCAGGAGAAGCAGGUGCAGCUGAACUCUGACUCCAGAGUUCAGUUCAGGGCUGGGAAUGCUGGCAAAUUCUUAGGAUGACCUAAACCCACAUUAAAAAAGAUUCAUGGCUGUUCAAAGAAAGAUGCAAAGAUUCAAGGCCUGAUCCUGGGGCUACUGCCAUCAGAGAAAGGAUUUCCACCAGUCUAAAGUGGCUUUAGCCAAAACCUUUAGCUUGGCUCUCAUUUUGUACAAGCCCCUGUGCCCUACUCUGUCUUCAGAGAAUGGCAGAGGCCCUGCACCGCUCUAAUCCUUGGCAUGAGCAUAAAAUCAUGCUGGGAACCUAAAUAACUCCCAUGAAGCAAGGACAGCUCUGCCCUUCGGUAGGGCUGGAUGUUAAGCCAGCUGUUAAACACUGCUUGCAGCCAGCUGCACGUCUCCAGCUGCUGCAGCUCUCAUCCCUCAGAGAAGAGGCACCACCUCUUCUGAGACAUGUCAGCUCCCCCUUCUUUUUGCUGGAUUGGACAUGGAAGACCCUGCCACCCCAAGGCUUCUUGACCCUCACUGCAGUUAUUUUUCCAGCACUCCUGUUGCUUACUGGGGGCUCUCAGUUCUCAAAGAUUAAUCAGACCAAACAGACUGUAUCCAGCAGUGGUGGGAGUUGUUCCUGAUGUUUAUAAUCCCAAAUAUUACUGUUUUACGUCACAGAUACCUCUUUUCCCUGAUGAAUGCUGACUAGUCUCUUUCCCUUCUGCCACUUUGCUUAAGUCAUAUUUGCCCUUAGAGCAAAAUGUGGCAGAGUCAUGAACAGGAACGGAAAGCUCUGUCAAAUGGAGAGACUAGGAUGCAACGUGAUUAUCGUGUUAACCAACUCACUGCCCUUUGGAUGCUUGGCCCACAUCCAGCACAGUGACAUCAAUACAGUGCUCUGGGCACACACUGCAAGUCGUCAGAUUGUACCAAAAUGUCAAGCAGCAUGCUGGAAGCUGUGGGGUUCUCAAGAGCUGAUCAGAUGCUGCACAUCUGGCCCUAUCCAUGCACCCUCAGCAACAUCUGCAGCACUCCAUGGGGGCAGCAGCAUUGCUCACCCACCUUCUUGGAAACCCACUGAAAUCAUCACGUAAACCCACAGGGGCAAGCAUACCCACCACAACUUUCUACAGCAAAGAUUAGGUGCAAUAAGACAUUAAAUGGGUGUCUGGCUUUGCCUUGCUAAUAGAGAGCUUCUUACUGGGGAUUUCUACAAGACCUUCCACAGAAAAGCAGGUAUUUGAGGGAGCCUUGUGUGCUUUGGCUUGGAAAAUCAAGGAUCUGCAGCCAUAUAGACCAGCCCUAGUAGCCCUGGUUCCCAGCAGGGGCUGAUGGAAUGUUGAUGAAAUUCUGGUACUUGUCUGAAAGCUACUGAGAUGUGGCCCACCUGUAGUGGGGAAAGGCAGACUGAACCCCCUCCUCCAGCACCGGGCUGCCAGGUAUGCCAUUUUCCUGCUGCAGCCACAUAUGAGCUGGUCAAGAGCCCAAUCCCAGGCAUCGUGUAGCAAAUCAAGGACUUUGCUUUCAGCAGCUUCCUCACACUUGGUAGCAGCACAGCCACAACCAGUCUUGCCCUUUUAGCAAAUUUUUCCAGAUGAAGAACUAUUUGCUGGUAGGGAAAAGACAAUUAUUAUUUUGCAAAACCAUUAGCCUCUGAAACCACACAGUGAAGAUGAUUAUGUUAAACGUUAACCAAGGAGAGGGAUGGAAUACAUUUUGUUGGUCAAGCAUCUCCAAAGUAAUGAACCAGACUAGUUGUGCCACCUCAGCUCCAUAUUUGGGAAGUAAUAUUGUGUUCAUCAGGCAGUGAACUACAGCAUCAGGGUCAGUGACCACCAAAACCCACCAGAGAGACCCCUGGGACAAGAGAACACAUGCGCUGAUGAGGGAAGAAAUACACUGAUGACUUCAAGGAAAUUAUUAUCAUAUGUAUGUUUCU